UAGUCGCCGCCAUUGACGACGGCGGCGGAGGAGUCCUUGGCGGCAGACAUGGGGUCAGCGUCGGUCUCCGGGUCAGUUGAACCGGUCUUCUUCUUGUGUUUUUUCUUAUCGGAGUGGGAGAUUUCGACUUCGGACAUUGUUCACGGGUCAAGCGGGAGCUCUGGGCUGAGCUCUCUAGGGUUUUUUAGGGUUUAAGGUAGGGUGGCUGGAAAUGGCGGAGAGAUUUUGAGGUUGAAUUAAACUGCGGAUUUAUAAGUGUUAGG
RNAcentral lists this long non-coding RNA (263 nucleotides) under Linum usitatissimum (flax). RNAcentral describes it as "long non-coding RNA (LUSI_LNC000708)". The record is from RNAcentral. Lineage: Eukaryota; Viridiplantae; Streptophyta; Magnoliopsida; Malpighiales; Linaceae.